Molecule: ribosomal RNA, 497 nt
Filed under: uncultured bacterium
Lineage: Bacteria
Description: partial 16S ribosomal RNA
Rfam family: Bacterial small subunit ribosomal RNA
Source: RNAcentral
GAUGAACGCUGGCGGCGUGCCUAAUACAUGCAAGUAGAACGCUGAAGGAAGGAGCUUGCUCUUUCCGGAUGAGUUGCGAACGGGUGAGUAACGCGUAGGUAACCUGCCUGGUAGCGGGGGAUAACUAUUGGAAACGAUAGCUAAUACCGCAUAACAGUAGAUGUUGCAUGAUAUCUACUUAAAAGGUGCAAUUGCACCACUACAAGAUGGACCUGCGUUGUAUUAGCUAGUUGGUGAGGUAACGGCUCACCAAGGCGACGAUACAUAGCCGACCUGAGAGGGUGAUCGGCCACACUGGGACUGAGACACGGCCCAGACUCCUACGGGAGGCAGCAGUAGGGAAUCUUCGGCAAUAGACGGAAGUCUGACCGAGCAACGCCGCGUGAGUGAAGAAGGUUUUCGGAUCGUAAAGCUCUGUUGUAAGAGAAGAACGAGUGUGAGAGUGGAAAGUUCACACUGUGACGGUAUCUUACCAGAAAGGGACGGCUAACUACGUG